UACGUAGGGUGCAGGCGUUAAUCGGAAUUACUGGGCGUAAAGCGUGCGCAGGCGGUUUCUUAAGUCAGAUGUGAAAGCCCCGGGCUUAACCUGGGAACUGCGUUUGAAACUGGGAGACUUGAGUGUGGCAGAGGGGGAUGGAAUUCCGCGUGUAGCAGUGAAAUGCGUAGAUAUGCGGAGGAACACCGAUGGCGAAGGCAAUCCCCUGGGCCUGCACUGACGCUCAUGCACGAAAGCGUGGGGAGCAAACAGG
Molecule: ribosomal RNA, 253 nt
Filed under: uncultured bacterium
Lineage: Bacteria
Description: partial 16S ribosomal RNA
Rfam family: Bacterial small subunit ribosomal RNA
Source: RNAcentral